UACAGAGGUGGCAAGCGUUGUUCGGAAUUACUGGGCGUAAAGGGUUCGUAGGUGGCCUACUAAGUCAGACGUGAAAUCCCUCAGCUUAACUGGGGAACUGCGUCUGAUACUGGGGGGCUUGAGGACAGGAGAGGAACGCGGAAUUCCAGGUGUAGCGGUGAAAUGCGUAGAUAUCUGGAGGAACACCGGUGGCGAAGGCGGCGUUCUGGACUGUUUCUGACACUGAGGAACGAAAGCCAGGGGAGCAAACGGG
RNAcentral lists this ribosomal RNA (253 nucleotides) under uncultured bacterium. RNAcentral's name for it is "partial 16S ribosomal RNA". It matches the Rfam family "Bacterial small subunit ribosomal RNA", at positions 524 to 776 of the family's 1533-position model. The record is from RNAcentral.